UGACCCCAGGUCAUGC
Molecule: ribosomal RNA, 16 nt
Filed under: Telosma africana
Lineage: Eukaryota; Viridiplantae; Streptophyta; Magnoliopsida; Gentianales; Apocynaceae
Description: partial large subunit ribosomal RNA
Source: RNAcentral